Epinephelus fuscoguttatus (brown-marbled grouper) is the source of this 723-nucleotide long non-coding RNA. RefSeq lists it as uncharacterized. The record is from RefSeq and is a predicted model, not a curated record. The transcript has 3 exons. Lineage: Eukaryota; Metazoa; Chordata; Actinopteri; Perciformes; Serranidae.
GCAGGAGGAGGAAAGCGACGAGGGAACGUCCAACUCCUUCUCUUUCAACAUGUUCCAGUUCUCCAGGAAGGAUGGCGAGAUCUAGCUGAAGUGUGAAGUGGAGCUGCGCCUCACAGAGGAGCAAAGCUGCUCUCAGAGCUGUAACGAUGGAGGCAAAAGGAGGUGCAGAUCCUUCAGGUCUAGAUAUGAUAGAAACUCGGCCCUCAUCACGAUGUCCUGGAAUAAUUAAAGACAGCUUCCCUUCUGAUGGAUUACACGGUGAGUCCUCACUUGAGCUUCGUCCCAACAAGGAGCCUGAAGAGUCUGAAGUUAUCGUCGCUGUGAAACCACGCCGGCAGAUAAUCUUCAUCUGAUCCACCUGAGAUGGCGUUUAUCAUCUCUGCUGAAUCUGUGGGCCGCUGAUUCAACCCACUGAUUCAUGCACAUAUAAUCUGUGGUGAAAUAAUGGAAGUGAAGAGCAAAGAAGAACAAAAAUACAGUGAAACUUCACUUAAUAGCUUCACUGACUGAAGUCAACAGGCCUGUAUUUGAGACAGGCCUUUAAUUCCUGUCACACAAACUGCUGCUCAGCAAAGAUCAGGAAAUACAGUCCAAGUGUUUUUAAACCAGUCUGAAUAUUAGUUCUUUAAGAAUUAGGCUCCAGAUAACAUAUAAAUUAUGAGUCAUUAAUUUGGUCUAACUCUGACAGACGGAGCAUCAGAGAGAGUUACAGCACUGGGAACA